GACGAACGUUGGCGGCGUGCUUAAUACAUGCAAGUCAACUGAAGCAGUGGUAGCAAUAUCGCUGUGGAGGUGGCGCACGGGUGAGUAACACGUAGGUAAUCUGCCUUCAGGUCUGGCAUAACUCCGGGAAACCGGGGCUAAUAGCAGAUGAUGCAGCGGCUCGACAUCGAGACAGUUGUUAAAGCUAUGGCGCCUGAAGAUGAGCCUGCGUCUGAUUAGCUAGUUGGCGGGGUAACGGCCCACCAAGGCAACGAUCAGUAGCUGGUCUGAGAGGAUGAUCAGCCACACUGGAACUGUGACACGGUCCAGACUCCUACGGGAGGCAGCAGUAAGGAAUAUUGCUCAAUGGGAGAAAUCCUGAAGCAGCAACGCCGCGUGAGGGACGAAGGGCUUUUGCUUGUAAACCUCUGUAGUGAGAGAAAAAAAUCCCAAUCUUUGGGACAUGAUGGUAUCUCAAAAGUAAGCCCCGGCUAACUACGUG
This 481-nucleotide ribosomal RNA is filed under the name uncultured bacterium. RNAcentral describes it as "partial 16S ribosomal RNA". It matches the Rfam family "Bacterial small subunit ribosomal RNA", at positions 28 to 507 of the family's 1533-position model. The record is from RNAcentral.